GCUUACGGCCAUAUCACGUUGAAAGCACCGGUUCUCGUCUGAUCACCGAAGUUAAGCAACAUCGAGCCUAGUUAGUACUUAGAUGGGUGACCGCUUGGGAAACCUAGGUGCUAUAAGCA
Molecule: ribosomal RNA, 119 nt
Filed under: Octopus vulgaris (common octopus)
Lineage: Eukaryota; Metazoa; Mollusca; Cephalopoda; Octopoda; Octopodidae
Also listed under: 1 other name
Source: RNAcentral